Nematostella vectensis (starlet sea anemone) is the source of this 804-nucleotide long non-coding RNA. RefSeq lists it as uncharacterized. The transcript is spliced from 2 exons. The record is from RefSeq and is a predicted model, not a curated record. Lineage: Eukaryota; Metazoa; Cnidaria; Anthozoa; Actiniaria; Edwardsiidae.
ACGUGUGAGUCACUUUGGAAUCAGUUGACAAUAAAAACCCGAUACUACCCCUGAAAAAGUAGGCAUUUGCUUGCUUUAGCGUGUGAUCUCUUGUACACAUCUCUCGAACCGAAAUCUUGAAAAGCGAAGCAUGGCUUCACAAAAUGCAGAAGUUUCUCGUGGAGAGCUUGUCUGCCGAAAGAAGGAGUGUUAUCCUUUUGGUUAUUGUGUAGAAUUUGAUCGAAUUCAGAUCCCGAGAAGUUGGAAUUAAUGAUGAAAGUUUGGCGACCGGACAAUAGCUCUUCCGAAUUCUCUCAAUGUCCAGUCCAGAACUACUAUAAUUGCAAAUCAUUGGCCAAGAAAUAAAACAAUGGAUUGCUAUAUUAUUUUAAACCAAGGCAAACACAGCCACAAAGGAGACAGAGGAGAAUCAGUGGGCUCCAGUGAAUACUGCAGUGUACUUACAUGCAAAAGCUAUUGUUAGGAAGAAGCAGGAGAUCAUAAAUUCUGUAUAGUUCACUAUAUGUUAAUACAUGAGCAGCAAUCUUUUCAGUAGCUAUUAUCAUGGCCACCGCUUAGACCUAAAUAGCUUACUGGGUAUGUACAGGCAUGCAGCUCGGGGUGGGCUAGGUUGUGCUCCCACUCAACCACCAAAAGGCAGUCUUUUUUUAAUAUACUUACUUCCCAUAAUAUCUAUGACUGCACAUCCCCUCCACAGCUUAUCAGAUUGUUUGUUAUGGUUAUCAGACUUCACCUUUCCUUUUCUAGACAUACAAUGCCUUUAAUUAAAUAAUUUCUUUUGUUUAAUAAAAUAAGACUGAGUAA